RNAcentral lists this ribosomal RNA (468 nucleotides) under uncultured bacterium. RNAcentral's name for it is "partial 16S ribosomal RNA". It matches the Rfam family "Bacterial small subunit ribosomal RNA", at positions 28 to 507 of the family's 1533-position model. The record is from RNAcentral.
GACGAACGCUGGCGGCGUGCUUAACACAUGCAAGUCGAACGGAAAGGCCCUGCUUUUGUGGGGUGCUCGAGUGGCGAACGGGUGAGUAACACGUGAGUAACCUGCCCUUGACUUUGGGGUAACUUCAGGAAACUGGGGCUAAUACCGGAUAGGAGCUCCUGCUGCAUGGUGGGGGUUGGAAAGUUUCGGCGGUUGGGGAUGGACUCGCGGCUUAUCAGCUUGUUGGUGGGGUAGUGGCUUACCAAGGCUGUGACGGGUAGCCGGCCUGAGAGGGUGACCGGCCACAUUGGGACUGCGAGACGGCCCAGACUCCUACGGGAGGCAGCAGUGGGGAAUAUUGCACAAUGGGCGGAAGCCUGAUGCAGCAACGCCGCGUGCGGGAUGACGGCCUGCGGGUUGUAAACCGCUUUCGCCUGUGACGAAGCGUGAGUGACGGUAAUGGGUAAAGAAGCACCGGCUAACUACGUG